CCUACGGGCGGCUGCAGUGGGGAAUAUUGGACAAUGGGGGGAACCCUGAUCCAGCCAUGCCGCGUGUGUGAAGAAGGCCCUCGGGUUGUAAAGCACUUUCAGUGAGGAAGAACGCCUGGUGGUUAAUACCCAUCAGGAAAGACAUCACUCACAGAAGAAGCACCGGCUAACUCCGUGCCAGCAGCCGCGGUAAUACGGAGGGUGCGAGCGUUAAUCGGAAUUACUGGGCGUAAAGCGCGCGUAGGUGGCUUGAUAAGCCGGUUGUGAAAGCCCCGGGCUCAACCUGGGAACGGCAUCCGGAACUGUCAAGCUAGAGUGCAGGAGAGGAAGGUAGAAUUCGCGGUGUAGCGGUGAAAUGCGUAGAGAUCGGGAGGAAUACCAGUGGCGAAGGCGGCCUUCUGGACUGACACUGACACUGAGGUGCGAAAGCGUGGGUAGCAAACAGGAUUAGAUACCCGUGUAGUC
This 465-nucleotide ribosomal RNA is filed under the name Vreelandella stevensii. RNAcentral's name for it is "partial 16S ribosomal RNA". It matches the Rfam family "Bacterial small subunit ribosomal RNA", at positions 338 to 795 of the family's 1533-position model. Lineage: Bacteria; Pseudomonadati; Pseudomonadota; Gammaproteobacteria; Oceanospirillales; Halomonadaceae. The record is from RNAcentral.